RNAcentral lists this long non-coding RNA (1255 nucleotides) under Phasianus colchicus (ring-necked pheasant). RNAcentral describes it as "lncRNA (ENSPCLG00000017038.1)". Lineage: Eukaryota; Metazoa; Chordata; Aves; Galliformes; Phasianidae. The record is from RNAcentral.
AUGGCACUCUAUGGGUUCUCUGGGCUGCCUGGUCUGGUGGUUGGCGGCCCUGCACACAGCAGGGGGUUGGAACUGAUGAACUUUGAGGUCCUUUUCAACCCAGGCCACCCUAUGUUCCCCUGUGAGGAGCUGGGAUGGCACUGGUGUCAGCGUGCCAACCCGAUGGGAAGCACACGGCGCCGGCAGGGCUGCUGCCAUCAGCCUGGGGAGCACCCAGAACUGCUGCACUGCCGUGUGGCUUCUGGUAGGAAAGCUCUUCUCAUUGCACAAAGUGUAGGGAGCAGCUUCUGGAGGAGGGCUCUCAGCACCCAAAGGGGAUGGGCUCCUCUGCAAGGGGGAACGGCGUCAGGCGGAGCCGUGGGAGGUCCAGGUUGGGGGCAAGGGAGCAUCCCACGGCACAGGCGGUGCUGCGGUGGGUUGUGCCAUCGCUGGGCUCUGCAAGCAGCCCUGGAGCAGCCUGAGCCAGCAGGGAGUUGGAAAUACAGCCCUCAAAUGUCCCUUCUGACUCACAGACGUUAUGCCCAUCACCGCUUUGUUACGUCCAUUGCUGCCCAUCACUGCUUGUUAUGCCCAUCACUGCCUCGUUAUGCCCAUCACUGCUCGUUAUGCCCAUCACUGCCCCAUUACGUCCAUUGCUGCCCAUCACUGCCUCCGCGCAGAGCAAAGCAGCCCCUUUUCGGAGAGCGACCCAAGUCCCGCGCCGUCCCACCCUCGCGGUUCUCCUUCUGCACCCCAAAGGAUUUCAGCGCAGGGAGGAGCACAAAGCACACAGAGGAGCCAGGGCCGCUCCGAGCCAAGGCUGCUGUGAGCCAGGGACACGGAGCGGCUCAUCCCGAGCCAAGGCUGCUGUGAGCCAGGGACACGGAGCGGCUCACCCCGAGCCGGGGCGGCCCCUCGUGCGCUCCUGGCUGCGCAGCGCAGCCCCGCACGGAGCGCAGCACAUCGCGCUCGCAGCACGUCGGCCUCGCACGCUCAGCACGGCCGCUAAGUGCUUCCACAUGGCGCCCGCAGGCUGCAGACGGAGGUCCGGCAGCACAGCACAGCAGCACGGCGGCUGCCAGCCCUCCCCGCCCGCCCUGAUGUUGUAAGCAGAAGCUGCUGACUCCAAACGGCCCCAGCGUCUCCUGCGGGGCAUUCCUUCAUCAGCAGAGGGCUUGCAGUGGGACAGGGAGGGGAUCGUUCCUACCAACUGCAGCAACUGCAGCACUGCACCCAGGGUGGGGGUCCCAGCACAAGAAGGACAGGGAGCUGUUGG